UGGGGAAUUUUGCACAAUGGGGGAAACCCUGAUGCAGCGACGCCGCGUGAUUUAGAAGGCCUUCGGGUUGUAAAAAUCUUUUCUAUGGGAAGAAAAUGACAGUACCAUAGGAAUAAGGACCGGCUAAUUACGUGCCAGCAGCCGCGGUAAUACGUAAGGUCCGAGCGUUGUCCGGAAUCAUUGGGCGUAAAGGGUACGUAGGCGGCCCAGUAAGUUAGAAGUGAAAUAAUAUAGCUCAACUAUAUAAAGCUUUUAAAACUGCUAGGCUUGAGAGAUGGAAGGGAAAGUGGAAUUCCUAGUGUAGCGGUGAAAUGCGCAGAUAUUAGGAAGAAUACCGGUGGCGUAGGCGACUUUCUGGUCAUCAUCUGACGCUGAGGUACGAAAGCGUGGGUAGCAAACAGG
This 402-nucleotide ribosomal RNA is filed under the name Bacteroidota bacterium. RNAcentral describes it as "Bacteroidetes bacterium partial 16S ribosomal RNA". It matches the Rfam family "Bacterial small subunit ribosomal RNA", at positions 355 to 776 of the family's 1533-position model. The record is from RNAcentral. Lineage: Bacteria; Pseudomonadati; Bacteroidota.